This is a long non-coding RNA of Mobula hypostoma (lesser devil ray), 1428 nucleotides long. RefSeq lists it as uncharacterized. The record is from RefSeq and is a predicted model, not a curated record. NCBI's taxonomy places the organism in Eukaryota, Metazoa, Chordata, Chondrichthyes, Myliobatiformes, Myliobatidae. The transcript has 4 exons.
GCAGUGUGUUGCAUUCGGGCUGCUUUCAAAUUUUUUUCAGUUUCACGAGUACAGACUGAGGAACUACUGGCAGAAGGAUCUUGUAAAGUGUAAACAACAGGAAUUCUGCAGAUGCUGGAAAUUCAAGCAACAUACAUCAAAGUUGCUGGUGAACGCAGCAGGCCAGGCAGCAUCUCUAGGAAGAGGUGCAGUCGACGUUUCAGGCCGAGACCCUUCGUCAGGACUAACUGAAGGAAGAAUGUACCAUGGAGAGCAUUCAAACCGGCUACAUCACCCUCCGGUAUGCGGGGGAUCACAGCACAGGAUUGAAACAAGCUGCAGUUCAUUAUGGCCACCAGCCUCUGUAGUAUCCGGGACAUCUUCAAGGGGCGAUGCUUCAAAAAAGCAGCAUCCAUCAUUAAGGACAUGCCUUGUUCACAUUGCUACCAUCAGGAAGGAGCCUACUACACGCCCUUUCUUUAUCGAUGAUGUGGAUCUUUGCUGAAUUAUGAAAAUUUCUCAACCCUCUGGUUGUGGGGGAGGUUGUUUGUUUCUUUCUGCUACGUCAGUUUUAACUUCUUUCUAUACCGGAACUGAACUGCUCGUCCAUUUUUUUUUUGGCUUAAAGGCAUAUACAGGUUUCCCAGUUUACAAACAUAUGAGAGAACUGUGGUAUCAAGCUGCUGGCUGCUCUAGGCAUCCUCUGCUGUCUGGGAAUCUGGUUGGGGACUCCUUUUCCAGCUUUAAGUCAGAAUCAGAAUCAGGCUUAUUAUCACUGGGAUGCGUUGUGAAAUUUGUUAACUUAGGAGUUAUGAAUAGUUCACAGGUAUGGAACUCUUCCAUAACCUGGGGGCAACCUGUAUACUCCAAAUUAAGCCAUUUUAUGCUUUGAACUUCCUUUGCUUUGUUUGGAUUUAAUCUGUUUUCGAUUUGAACUAAAUAAUUAUGGAUGUUCAAAUAAAAUUCUGUCAUAAUAUAAUUCGUUUCCUAAAGGCCUCUUAUUUACCAGAACUUCAGUGAACUCUUUCACACUACACAAUACUAGAUCUAAAAUAGCCUUUCUUGGAUGAGUUCCUCUUCUCACUCUCUUCUCACUGCUGCCAUCAUGAAAAAGGCCCAGGAGCCUCAGGACUCUCACUACCAGGUUCAGGAACAGUUAUCACCCCUCAACCAUCAGGCUUUUGAACCAAAGGAGAUAACUUCACUCACCCCCAUCACUGAAAUGUUCCCACAAUCAAUGGACUCAAGGACUCUUCAUCUCAUGCUCUUGAUAUUUAAUGCUUAUUUAUUUAUUUAUUCAUUCAGUCAUUCACUCAUUCAUUCUUUUUAUAUUUGCACAGUUUAUUGUCUUCUGCAGUCUGGUUGAACGCCCUAGUUGGGGACUCUUUCGUUGAUUCUGUUAUGGUUAUUUUUCUAUGGAUUUAUUGAGUACAUCUACAAGAAAAUGUA